GUGGAUUAGAUACCCUGGUAGUCCACGCCGUAAACGAUGAUAACUAGCUGUCCGGGUUCAUGGAACUUGGGUGGCGCAGCUAACGCAUUAAGUUAUCCGCCUGGGGAGUACGGUCGCAAGAUUAAAACUCAAAGGAAUUGACGGGGGCCUGCACAAGCGGUGGAGCAUGUGGUUUAAUUCGAAGCAACGCGCAGAACCUUACCAGCCUUUGACAUCCUGGUCGCGGAUUAGAGAGAUCUUUUCCUUCAGUUCGGCUGGACCAGUGACAGGUGCUGCACGGCCGUCGCCAGCU
RNAcentral lists this ribosomal RNA (292 nucleotides) under uncultured bacterium. RNAcentral describes it as "partial 16S ribosomal RNA". It matches the Rfam family "Bacterial small subunit ribosomal RNA", at positions 773 to 1060 of the family's 1533-position model. The record is from RNAcentral.